UACGGAGGAUGCGAGCGUUAUCCGGAAUUACUGGGUGUAAAGGGAGCGUAGACGGUAAUGUAAGUCUGGAGUGAAAGGCGGGGGCCCAACCCCCGGACUGCUCUGGAAACUAUGUUACUGGAGUGCAGGAGAGGUAAGCGGAAUUCCUAGUGUAGCGGUGAAAUGCGUAGAUAUUAGGAGGAACACCAGUGGCGAAGGCGGCUUACUGGACUGUAACUGACGCUGAGGCACGAAAGUGUGGGGAGCAAACAGG
This 253-nucleotide ribosomal RNA is filed under the name uncultured bacterium. RNAcentral's name for it is "partial 16S ribosomal RNA". It matches the Rfam family "Bacterial small subunit ribosomal RNA", at positions 524 to 776 of the family's 1533-position model. The record is from RNAcentral.